RNAcentral lists this unclassified non-coding RNA (171 nucleotides) under uncultured Talaromyces. RNAcentral describes it as "sequence contains ITS2". The record is from RNAcentral. Lineage: Eukaryota; Fungi; Ascomycota; Eurotiomycetes; Eurotiales; Trichocomaceae.
CUGCCCUCCAGCCCGGCUGGGUGUUGGGCGCUGUCCCCCCGGGGACACGCCCCAAAGGCAGUGGCGGCGCCGCGUCGGGUCCUCGAGCGUAUGGGGCUUUGUCACCCGCUCGGGACGGACUCGUCGGCGCUGGUCUUCCUCCAGGCGACCCUUCGGGGCUCGUCUUCCUUC